Musa acuminata subsp. malaccensis (wild Malaysian banana) is the source of this 1419-nucleotide non-coding RNA. NCBI's taxonomy places the organism in Eukaryota, Viridiplantae, Streptophyta, Magnoliopsida, Zingiberales, Musaceae. The record is from RefSeq and is a predicted model, not a curated record.
CAAAUUGUGCUCUAUCAUAUGUGCAUCAGAAUAAUCUAAUUGUCCAUUGUUUGCUGAGCCAUUGAAGCCUUCUUUUUCCUCAAACUGAUGUUGCGUUUGCCACUGAUGGAUAAGCUCGCCCAUCUUUUGGAUUGGCCUUCGAUGGGCCUAUACGUAAUGGAACAAAGCCCAAGGCACAGCCAUGGUUACGACUAUAGCGAGCCUGUGGUACGUCGCAACCUUAAAGGCAACGUUGAUCUAACCGUCUAUUCGUACAUGCGAACCCGAACCAACGUUGAUCUCCAUAGCUCGUCCGUUCUCUGAGUACACUAAUCUUGACGCUUUUCCCCAAAAAUCGACGGCAAGAUCAGAGGCCACCGCUUCGUGUAUAGUUCGUCACCUUUGCGGAAACGCCAUGUAAGUUUCGAUAUUUCUUUACCACCCACCCCGUUCUCCCCCGCGCCUCCGAUUGCUGUUCCUCUUUUCCUCCACCGGCCACGGUCGUCGACUUCCUGCGUCGCCUCUGUAAUCUUCCCCCGACUUCUGCGCCCAUGGCUGAGACUGUUGUCCUCAAGGUUGGUAUGUCAUGUGAAGGAUGCAUUGGAGCUGUUAAAAGAGUUCUAACCAAAAUGGAAGUUCACUUAAUGCUUUCUUUUAUAUUUUUUUUCUGAUGCUAUUUCUUGAUCUUUGACUUUCUUGGAGCUCAUGUUUUUUGUUUAAAGUAAAAAAAAAUGAAGUCUCUGAUUAUGGUGUGUGAUGUCCAACACCAUCAUACCAAAGCUUAGUAGCCUAGUUCUGCCAUGUUUUAGAUUGUUGUGUUUUGGAAAAGUUAAUUUCCUGUUGGCAAGAUCUUCAUUUGGUUUUAACAAAAUAUUUGUACAUAUUUAUGUCUCAAAUCCAUUUAUGAUGAGCAAUUUCAACAGUACUUUGACUAGCUCAAUGGUAUACAUGUGCAUCUUCAUCAUGUUGCUUGUUUCUUUUUCAGGCGUCGAGUCCUUCAACGUUGAUCUGAAAGAGCAAAAAGUGACUAUGAAAGGCAAUGCGAAACCUGAAGAAGUUCUUCAAACUGUCUCAAAAACAGGCAAAAAGACUUCCUUUUGGGAUGCCGAACCUGAAACCAAGGAGACUAUUGCAUGAUGAUGAUAUCCUACUUACAUGAAACCUUUUACCAAAUAAAUUGGACUCUUUAUGUCGUAUGAUCUGUUAGUAUGUUAUGUUGCAGAGCUUGGUUCUUGAUACAUGUUGAGUACAUACUGAUUAUUAUCUGAUCAACUGUGACAUAUCCCUUCCGGUAUGCUUGUGCCAACCAUCAAGUGAACUUAUCAAGGCUGAUCUAUGAAAAAUAUCCAUUGCAAGUUUGAUUAGACCCAUAUCUCACUCUACUUACGGGUUAAUGGUUAUCUUGAUGUGCUCAAUUUCAAUGGAAUUUGGUUCGCUCAA